Molecule: small nucleolar RNA, 140 nt
Organism: Larimichthys crocea (large yellow croaker)
Lineage: Eukaryota; Metazoa; Chordata; Actinopteri; Sciaenidae
Source: Ensembl
UUGCACUGUCUUUGAACCUUUUUGGUCUGUUCUGUGACCUCUUAGGCCAAGCUACAGUGCUAAAGUGAAUUCAGGCUUGUUUAUAACUGGGGCCUCCUGGCAACACUCCCAGGUCGCUCUUUUAAGAGCAAGUCACAGAU